UGGGGAAUUUUGGACAAUGGGGGCAACCCUGAUCCAGCCAUGCCGCGUGAGUGAAGAAGGCCUUCGGGUUGUAAAGCUCUCUCAGUGGGAACGAAACGGCGGCUCUAACAUAGCCUGUUAAUGACGGUACCCACAGAAGAAGCACCGGCUAACUACGUGCCAGCAGCCGCGGUAAUACGUAGGGUGCGAGCGUUAAAUCGGAAUUACUGGGCGUAAAGCGUGCGCAGGCGGUUUCGCAAGCUAGGCGUGAAAGCCCCGGGCUUAACCUGGGAAUGGCGCUUAGGACUGCGAAGGCUAGAGUACGGCAGAGGGAGGUAGAAUUCCACGUGUAGCAGUGAAAUGCGUAGAGAGUGGAGGAAUACCGAUGGCGAAGGCAGCCUCCUGGG
This 386-nucleotide ribosomal RNA is filed under the name uncultured bacterium. Its description in RNAcentral is "partial 16S ribosomal RNA". It matches the Rfam family "Bacterial small subunit ribosomal RNA", at positions 355 to 733 of the family's 1533-position model. The record is from RNAcentral.